AAUCAACGCUGGCGGCGUGCCUAACACAUGCAAGUCGAACGCGAAAGUUCCUUCGGGGAUGAGUAGAGUGGCGUCCGGGUGAGUAACGCGUGGGUAAUCUGCCUUUGGGUGGGGAAUAACCCAGGGAAACUUGGGCUAAUACCGCAUAAUGCAGCGGCUCGACAUCGAGACGGUUGUUAAAGCAGCAAUGUGCCUGGAGAGGAGCCUGCGUCUGAUUAGCUAGUUGGAGGGUAAUGGCCUACCAAGGCGACGAUCGGUAGCUGGUCUGAGAGGACGACCAGCCACACUGGGACUGAGACACGGCCCAGACUCCUACGGGAGGCAGCAGUGGGGAAUAUUGGACAAUGGGCGCAAGCCUGAUCCAGCGAUGCCGCGUGUGUGAAGAAGGCCUGCGGGUUGUAAAGCACUUUCAGU
This 414-nucleotide ribosomal RNA is filed under the name uncultured bacterium. Its description in RNAcentral is "bacterial SSU rRNA". It matches the Rfam family "Bacterial small subunit ribosomal RNA", at positions 32 to 440 of the family's 1533-position model. The record is from RNAcentral.